CGGGGGCUACUCCACAAAAUAGGCCCCGUGUGCAAAAAAAGGAGGAACUAUUAACCCCGUCUGACUCACGGUGCGGCAGUGUGGAGACCUGCUGUAAUGCAGUGCCGUCUUUUCAUGGGCGGCUGCGAGAGCGUAAGCGAGGAUUCCUUGCGCUUAGAGUCGUAAAGUAUGGCA
RNAcentral lists this non-coding RNA (174 nucleotides) under human gut metagenome. RNAcentral describes it as "malK-I RNA". It matches the Rfam family "malK-I RNA". The record is from RNAcentral.